GGCCGCCUGGCGAAAUGGCAUCGCGUCUGACUACGACCAAGCAUCAACUGCUUACGUAAAAUCAGGAGAUUGCAGGUUCGACCCCUGCGGUGGUCA
Leucogyrophana mollusca is the source of this 96-nucleotide non-coding RNA. The record is from the annotation of a GenBank genome assembly. NCBI's taxonomy places the organism in Eukaryota, Fungi, Basidiomycota, Agaricomycetes, Boletales.